CCUACGGGUGGCAGCAGUGGGGAAUAUUGGACAAUGGGCGCAACCCUGAUGCAGCAACGCCGCGUGAACGAAGAAGUCUCUCGGUAUGUAAAGCCCUUUUAGCAGGGAAGAAGAAAGUGCCGUACCUGGGUAAUAAGCACCGGCUUAAUACGUGCCAGCAACCGCGGUAAUACGGAGGGUGCCAGCGUUAUUCGGAAUUACUGGGUGUAAAGGGGGCGCAGGCGGGACGGCAAGCCUGGUGUGAAAGCCCGGGGCCCAACCGCGGGACUGGAAUGGGAACUGGCGGGCUGGAGUGCCGGAGAGGUAGGCGGAAUUCCUAGUGUAGCGGUGAAAUGCGUAGAUAUUAGGAGGAACACCAGUGGCGAAGGCGGCCUACUGGACGGUGACUGACGUUGAGGCUCGAAAGCGUGGGGAGCAAACAGGAUUAGAUACCCUGGUAGUC
RNAcentral lists this ribosomal RNA (442 nucleotides) under uncultured bacterium. RNAcentral's name for it is "partial 16S ribosomal RNA". It matches the Rfam family "Bacterial small subunit ribosomal RNA", at positions 338 to 795 of the family's 1533-position model. The record is from RNAcentral.